GGGGUGACGGCGUACCUUUUGUAUAAUGGGUCAGCGACUUACGUUCAGUAGCAAGCUUAACCGUAUAGGGCAGGCGUAGCGAAAGCGAGUCCGAAUAGGGCGUUCAGUUGCUGGGCGUAGACCCGAAACCAGGUGAUCUAUCCAUGGCCAGGAUGAAGGUGCGGUAACACGUACUGGAGGUCCGAACCCACUAACGUUGAAAAGUUAGGGGAUGAGCUGUGGAUAGGGGUGAAAGGCUAAACAAACCUGGAAAUAGCUGGUUCUCUCCGAAAACUAUUUAGGUAGUGCCUCGUGUCUCACCUUCGGGGGUAGAGCACUGUCAUGGUUGGGGGGUCUAUUGCAGAUUACCCCGCCAUAGCAAACUCCGAAUACCGAAGAGUGCAAUCACGGGAGACAGACAUCGGGUGCUAACGUCCGGUGUCAAGAGGGAAACAACCCAGACCGCCAGCUAAGGUCCCCAAAUAUGGCUAAGUGGGAAACGAAGUGGGAAGGCUAAAACAGUCAGGAGGUUGGCUUAGAAGCAGCCACCCUUUAAAGAAAGCGUAAUAGCUCACUGAUCGAGUCGUCCUGCGCGGAAGAUGUAACGGGGCUAAGCCAUAUACCGAAGCUGCGGAUGCGAGCUAGUCUCGCAUGGUAGGAGAGCGUUCCGUAAGCCUGCGAAGGUGCCUUGUAAAGGGUGCUGGAGGUAUCGGAAGUGCGAAUGCUGACAUGAGUAGCGAUAAAGGGGGUGAAAGGCCCCCUCGCCGUAAGCCCAAGGUUUCCUACGCAACGUUCAUCGGCGUAGGGUGAGUCGGCCCCUAAGGCGAGGCAGAAAUGCGUAGCUGAUGGGAAGCAGGUCAAUAUUCCUGCACCGUCGUUAGAUGCGAUGGGGGGACGGAUCGCGGAAGGUUGUCCGGGUGUUGGAAGUCCCGGUCGCUGCAUUGGAGAAGGCGCUUAGGCAAAUCCGGGCGCAGGAUUCAAGGGUGUGGCGCGAGCUCCCUCGGGAGCGAAGCAAUUGGAAGUGGUUCCAAGAAAAGCCUCUAAGCUUCAGUCUAACGAUGACCGUACCGCAAACCGACACAGGUGGGCGAGAUGAGUAUUCUAAGGCGCUUGAGAGAACUCGGGAGAAGGAACUCGGCAAAUUGGUACCGUAACUUCGGGAUAAGGUACGCCCUUGUAGCUUGACUGGCCUGCGCCAGGAGGGUGAAGGGGUUGCAAUAAACUGGUGGCUGCGACUGUUUAAUAAAAACACAGCACUCUGCAAACACGAAAGUGGACGUAUAGGGUGUGACGCCUGCCCGGUGCCGGAAGAUUAAAUGAUGGGGUGCAAGCUCUUGAUUGAAGUCCCGGUAAACGGCGGCCGUAACUAUAACGGUCCUAAGGUAGCGAAAUUCCUUGUCGGGUAAGUUCCGACCUGCACGAAUGGCGUAACGAUGGCCACACUGUCUCCUCCCGAGACUCAGCGAAGUUGAAGUGUUUGUGAUGAUGCAAUCUACCCGCGGCUAGACGGAAAGACCCCAUGAACCUUUACUGUAGCUUUGCAUUGGACUUUGAACCGAUCUGUGUAGGAUAGGUGGGAGGCUAUGAAACCGGAACGCCAGUUUCGGUGGAGCCGUCCUUGAAAUACCACCCUGGUUUGUUUGAGGUUCUAACCUUGGCCCGUGAUCCGGGUCGGGGACAGUGCAUGGUAGGCAGUUUGACUGGGGCGGUCUCCUCCCAAAGCGUAACGGAGGAGUACGAAGGUACGCUAGGUACGGUCGGAAAUCGUGCUGAUAGUGCAAUGGCAUAAGCGUGCUUAACUGCGAGACCGACAAGUCGAGCAGGUGCGAAAGCAGGUCAUAGUGAUCCGGUGGUUCUGUAUGGAAGGGCCAUCGCUCAACGGAUAAAAGGUACUCUGGGGAUAACAGGCUGAUACCGCCCAAGAGUUCAUAUCGACGGCGGUGUUUGGCACCUCGAUGUCGGCUCAUCUCAUCCUGGGGCUGUAGCCGGUCCCAAGGGUAUGGCUGUUCGCCAUUUAAAGAGGUACGUGAGCUGGGUUUAAAACGUCGUGAGACAGUUUGGUCCCUAUCUGCCGUGGGCGUUGGAUAUUUGAAGGGGGCUGCUCCUAGUACGAGAGGACCGGAGUGGACGAACCUCUGGUGUACCGGUUGUGACGCCAGUCGCAUCGCCGGGUAGCUAUGUUCGGAAGAGAUAACCGCUGAAAGCAUCUAAGCGGGAAACUCGCCUUAAGAUGAGAUAUCCCUGGAGGCUUGACCUCCUUGAAGGGUCGUUCGAGACCAGGACGUUGAUAGGUCGGGUGUGUAAGCGCAGUAAUGCGUUCAGCUAACCGAUACUAAUUGCCCGUAAGGCUUGAUCCUAUAACA
RNAcentral lists this ribosomal RNA (2342 nucleotides) under Burkholderia ubonensis. RNAcentral describes it as "bacterial LSU rRNA". It matches the Rfam family "Bacterial large subunit ribosomal RNA", at positions 590 to 2925 of the family's 2925-position model. Lineage: Bacteria; Pseudomonadati; Pseudomonadota; Betaproteobacteria; Burkholderiales; Burkholderiaceae. The record is from RNAcentral.